This 433-nucleotide ribosomal RNA is filed under the name uncultured bacterium. Its description in RNAcentral is "partial 16S ribosomal RNA". It matches the Rfam family "Bacterial small subunit ribosomal RNA", at positions 29 to 507 of the family's 1533-position model. The record is from RNAcentral.
AGCGAACGCUGGAGGCAGGCCUAACACAUGCAAGUCGAACGAACUCUUCGGAGUUAGUGGCGGACGGGUGAGUAACACGUGGGAACGUGCCUUUAGGUUCGGAAUAACUCAGGGAAACUUGUGCUAAUACCGAAUGUGCCCUUCGGGGGAAAGAUUUAUCGCCUUUAGAGCGGCCCGCGUCUGAUUAGCUAGUUGGUGAGGUAAAGGCUCACCAAGGCGACGAUCAGUAGCUGGUCUGAGAGGAUGAUCAGCCACAUUGGGACUGAGACACGGCCCAAACUCCUACGGGAGGCAGCAGUGGGGAAUCUUGCGCAAUGGGCGAAAGCCUGACGCAGCCAUGCCGCGUGAAUGAUGAAGGUCUUAGGAUUGUAAAAUUCUUUCACCGGGGACGAUAAUGACGGUACCCGGAGAAGAAGCCCCGGCUAACUUCGUG